This 426-nucleotide ribosomal RNA is filed under the name uncultured bacterium. RNAcentral's name for it is "bacterial SSU rRNA". It matches the Rfam family "Bacterial small subunit ribosomal RNA", at positions 917 to 1344 of the family's 1533-position model. The record is from RNAcentral.
GGGCCCGCACAAGCGGUGGAGUAUGUGGUUUAAUUCGAUGCAACGCGAAGAACCUUACCAGGGUUUGACAUCCUGCGAAUCUCUUGGAAACAGGAGAGUGCCUUCGGGAACGCAGUGACAGGUGGUGCAUGGCUGUCGUCAGCUCGUGUCGUGAGAUGUUGGGUUAAGUCCCGCAACGAGCGCAACCCACGUCUUUAGUUGCCAGCAUUUAGUUGGGCACUCUAGAGAGACUGCCGGUGAUAAACCGGAGGAAGGUGUGGAUGACGUCAAGUCCUCAUGGCCCUUACGGCUGGGGCUACACACGUACUACAAUGCUACGGACAAAGAGCAGCAAGUUCGCGAGGACAAGCAAAUCUCAUAAACCGUGGCUCAGUUCAGAUCGUAGGCUGCAACUCGCCUACGUGAAGGAGGAAUCGCUAGUAAUCG